This 853-nucleotide long non-coding RNA is filed under the name Marmota monax (woodchuck). The record is from RNAcentral. Lineage: Eukaryota; Metazoa; Chordata; Mammalia; Rodentia; Sciuridae.
CCUGUUCCAGGAGGUGGGGGCCACCUGGUCAGCUCAUCGGCAGGACAGCCGUGAUGGGAAGGCUCCUGGUGAGCAGCACUGGCUCCCCGCACCCGCGGAGGGAACCAGGGACAAAGUCCAGGCAGACUUCCUGUGCCUCAGCAAUGCAGGGCGGAGUCUGAAGACGACCUGCCAAGUUGGGCGUGUGGACACCUGGGGAGGGGGGGGACGGACACACCUCUUCCUGAGGGGCAGCGCUGGGGACCAGGUGGAUGGUCAGCCGCGGCUCUCAGGUGCACGACAGGAAGGGGCCAGCUGAUUGACAGGUCCUGAGUGUCUGUCGCUCUAAAUCCACAGGAGAAAAGGACAGAAAUGAGGGCUCCCGGGAGACGUUGCUGUGAACACAGGGGAUGCCACCCCACCAAGCGGCUUGCGGCACCCCAGAGCGGGCAGGCAGGGCCCUCAGGUGUGUGCAUCUGAUGGCUGACAGGACAAGAAAGGGCAGAAUUCAGACAAGGCUCCAGCCUGGACCCAGGACUCUGCAAAGUCAGGCCUGAAGAAAGGAGGGGGAGGAUGAGAAACGACCCCCAAGCCAGGAAGCAACCCCAGAUUCCAUAGGGCAAGCCGAAGGAGGGCUGAGGACGCCAAGCAGAGCACACGGGAAGGAAGAGACACCUUGUUGAGGACCACAACCAAGUCAAGAUGGCGCCUGGCGGUUUGCCAGGAGGAGUGGUUUGUGAGGCAACGCCACCGAGCCAUUAAGAUGGUGGGGACUCCUCAUUGGCUGACUGCUGUAUCUGGAUGAUGCUGAGUCAAGCUGGGUGUCAUCGGUUAGGUAUAUAUACCUCUGCUGCCCCGCAAUAAAGCGGUUCCG